RNAcentral lists this long non-coding RNA (267 nucleotides) under Elaeis guineensis (African oil palm). RNAcentral's name for it is "long non-coding RNA (EGUI_LNC004765)". Lineage: Eukaryota; Viridiplantae; Streptophyta; Magnoliopsida; Arecales; Arecaceae. The record is from RNAcentral.
ACUCAUGGUCGUGUACUACAUUGUGCGGGGUAUGCCUCUAAACUUACCAAGGAUCAUGAUGAAUCAUAUAAGGGAGGUAGCUGCAAGGAAAAAGAUAUGUUUGCCCUAUGGUAUGGCCCUUACUAGAGUGUUUAUGGAAAUGGGAGUACCCCUAGAAAAUGAAGCCAAUAAGAACUUAUCACACUUUGAUAUAUAUGAUGAUAGAUCUUUAAACUGUAUCGGUUAUAAGGUGGUUAGAGGAAGAUGGGUAAAGAAAGUAUCUAGACA